Molecule: ribosomal RNA, 624 nt
Filed under: Triticum aestivum (bread wheat)
Lineage: Eukaryota; Viridiplantae; Streptophyta; Magnoliopsida; Poales; Poaceae
Description: partial small subunit ribosomal RNA
Source: RNAcentral
CGGCGCAAGUCUGACCAUCACAUUCGAUUAAUCCCAGGUGCUCAACCUGUCAACAUCAGACCCUAUCGCCACAAACCAGAGCACAAGACAGAAAUAGAAAAGCAAGUCGCUGAACUGUUGCAGUCAGGCGUUAUACGAAGAAGCAAAAGCCCCUUUGCUUCUCCAGCUAUCUUAGUAAAGAAGAAAGAUGGUACAUGGUGCCUUUGCAUAGACUAUCGUCACCUUAAUGCUAUGACGAUAGUUUCAAAAUACCCUGUGCCAAUCAUUGAAGAGCUGUUAGAUGAACUUCACGGAGCCAAGUGGUUUUCCAAACUGGAUUUGAGAGCCGGCUACCAUCAGAUACAGUUAGCGGAAGGGGAUGAACACAAAACGGCCUUCCAAACUCACUCAGGGCAUUUUGAGUUUUUGGUCAUGUCAUUUGGCUUGGCAGGUGGACCAGCAACCUUCAUUGAAUCCAUCCAAGACACUCUGCAGCCUGUGUACCGUGUUUGUGUGCUGUCCUUUUUCGACGACAUCUUGGUAUUCAGUAAAAGUUUGGAGGACCAUGUUAAACAUGCGCCAAAGUUUUCCAGCUGCUCCAACGAGACCAAUGGAAGGUCAAACUCUCCAAGUGUUCGUUCGGCC